This 771-nucleotide ribosomal RNA is filed under the name uncultured Rhodococcus sp. RNAcentral describes it as "bacterial SSU rRNA". It matches the Rfam family "Bacterial small subunit ribosomal RNA", at positions 1 to 794 of the family's 1533-position model. The record is from RNAcentral. Lineage: Bacteria; Bacillati; Actinomycetota; Actinomycetes; Mycobacteriales; Nocardiaceae.
UUAGAGUUUGAUCCUGGCUCAGGACGAACGCUGGCGGCGUGCUUAACACAUGCAAGUCGAGCGGUAAGGCCUUUCGGGGUACACGAGCGGCGAACGGGUGAGUAACACGUGGGUGAUCUGCCCUGCACUUCGGGAUAAGCCUGGGAAACUGGGUCUAAUACCGGAUAUGACCUCCUAUCGCAUGGUGGGUGGUGGAAAGAUUUAUCGGUGCAGGAUGGGCCCGCGGCCUAUCAGCCUGUUGGUGGGGUAAUGGCCUACCAAGGCGACGACGGGUAGCCGACCUGAGAGGGUGACCGGCCACACUGGGACUGAGACACGGCCCAGACUCCUACGGGAGGCAGCAGUGGGGAAUAUUGCACAAUGGGCGAAAGCCUGAUGCAGCGACGCCGCGUGAGGGAUGACGGCCUUCGGGUUGUAAACCUCUUUCAGCAGGGACGAAGCGCAAGUGACGGUACCUGCAGAAGAAGCACCGGCUAACUACGUGCCAGCAGCCGCGGUAAUACGUAGGGUGCAAGCGUUGUCCGGAAUUACUGGGCGUAAAGAGUUCGUAGGCGGUUUGUCGCGUCGUUUGUGAAAACCAGCAGCUCAACUGCUGGCUUGCAGGCGAUACGGGCAGACUUGAGUACUGCAGGGGAGACUGGAAUUCCUGGUGUAGCGGUGAAAUGCGCAGAUAUCAGGAGGAACACCGGUGGCGAAGGCGGGUCUCUGGGCAGUAACUGACGCUGAGGAACGAAAGCGUGGGUAGCGAACAGGAUUAGAUACCCUGGUAGU